This 58-nucleotide transfer RNA is filed under the name Saccharomyces cerevisiae YJM689. Its description in RNAcentral is "partial tRNA-Gln". It matches the Rfam family "tRNA", at positions 15 to 71 of the family's 71-position model. Rfam says of the family: Transfer RNA (tRNA) molecules are approximately 80 nucleotides in length. Their secondary structure includes four short double-helical elements and three loops (D, anti-codon, and T loops). Further hydrogen bonds mediate the characteristic L-shaped molecular structure. tRNAs have two regions of fundamental functional importance: the anti-codon, which is responsible for specific mRNA codon recognition, and the 3' end, to which the tRNAs corresponding amino acid is attached (by aminoacyl-tRNA synthetases). tRNAs cope with the degeneracy of the genetic code in two manners: having more than one tRNA (with a specific anti-codon) for a particular amino acid; and 'wobble' base-pairing, i.e. permitting non-standard base-pairing at the 3rd anti-codon position. Lineage: Eukaryota; Fungi; Ascomycota; Saccharomycetes; Saccharomycetales; Saccharomycetaceae. The record is from RNAcentral.
GUGGUUAUCACUUUCGGUUUUGAUCCGGACAACCCCGGUUCGAAUCCGGGUAGGACCU